GUCGGAAUCGCUAGUAAUCGUGGAUCAGAAUGCCACGGUGAAUACGUUCCCGGGCCUUGUACACACCGCCCGUCACACCAUGGGAGUGGGUUGCAAAAGAAGUAGGUAGCUUAACCUUCGGGAGGGCACUUACCACUUUGUGAUUCAUGACUGGGGUGAAGUCGUAACAAGGUAACCGUAGGGGAACCUGCGGUUGGAUCACCUCCUUACCUUAAAGAAGC
RNAcentral lists this ribosomal RNA (221 nucleotides) under Escherichia coli. Its description in RNAcentral is "partial 16S ribosomal RNA". It matches the Rfam family "Bacterial small subunit ribosomal RNA", at positions 1325 to 1533 of the family's 1533-position model. Lineage: Bacteria; Pseudomonadati; Pseudomonadota; Gammaproteobacteria; Enterobacterales; Enterobacteriaceae. The record is from RNAcentral.